Molecule: ribosomal RNA, 501 nt
Filed under: uncultured Lachnospiraceae bacterium
Lineage: Bacteria; Bacillati; Bacillota; Clostridia; Lachnospirales; Lachnospiraceae
Description: bacterial SSU rRNA
Rfam family: Bacterial small subunit ribosomal RNA
Source: RNAcentral
AGAGUUUGAUCCUGGCUCAGGAUGAACGCUGGCGGCACGCUUAACACAUGCAAGUCGAGCGAGAGAGUUUUGCGGAAAGGCUUCGGCCUGGAAGGGAAAUGAUCUAGCGGCGGACGGGUGAGUAACACGUGGGUAACCUACCCUAUACAGGGGGAUAACGUAUAGAAAUGUACGCUAAUACCGCAUAAGCCUACAGGUUCGCAUGAACUAGUAGGAAAAGCCGAGACGGUAUAGGAUGGGCCCGCGACUGAUUAGCUAGUUGGGGAGGUAAAGGCUUACCAAGGCAACGAUCAGUAGCCGGUCUGAGGGGAUGGACGGCCACAUUGGGACUGAGACACGGCCCAGACUCCUACGGGAGGCAGCAGUGGGGAAUAUUGCACAAUGGGGGGAACCCUGAUGCAGCGAUGCCGCGUGAAGGAAGAAGAUUUUCGGAUCGUAAACUUCUAUCAGCAAGGAAGAAGAAGGACAGUACUUGACUAAGCAGCCCCGGCUAACUACGUG